Molecule: unclassified non-coding RNA, 217 nt
Filed under: rhizosphere metagenome
Description: partial ribosomal RNA internal transcribed spacer region
Source: RNAcentral
GUAGGUGAACCUGCGGAAGGAUCACUAGUGAUUAAAUCGAGAGUGUCUUCAUUGACCUCUCACCCUUCACAUCCACAUACACCUGUGCACCGUUUGGCUCUUUUAAAAGACGUAAGUCUGCAAAGAGAGUCAUCAAUUCUGUACAUACCCCAGUCUUAUGAAUGUAACAGUUUUAAUAAACAAAAUAAAACUUUUAACAACGGAUCUCUUGGUUCUC